CAGUCGCCGCGGGAAUACGUAGGGUGCAAGCGUUAAUCGGAAUUACUGGGCGUAAAGCGUGCGCAGGCGGUUAUAUAAGACAGAUGUGAAAUCCCCGGGCUCAACCUGGGAACUGCAUUUGUGACUGUAUAGCUAGAGUACGGCAGAGGGGGAUGGAAUUCCGCGUGUAGCAGUGAAAUGCGUAGAUAUGCGGAGGAACACCGAUGGCGAAGGCAAUCCCCUGGGCCUGUACUGACGCUCAUGCACGAAAGCGUGGGGAGCAAACAGGAUUAGAUACCCGCGUAGUCCCUGUCUCUUAUCA
This 301-nucleotide ribosomal RNA is filed under the name uncultured bacterium. RNAcentral describes it as "partial 16S ribosomal RNA". It matches the Rfam family "Bacterial small subunit ribosomal RNA", at positions 509 to 809 of the family's 1533-position model. The record is from RNAcentral.